RNAcentral lists this ribosomal RNA (468 nucleotides) under uncultured bacterium. RNAcentral's name for it is "partial 16S ribosomal RNA". It matches the Rfam family "Bacterial small subunit ribosomal RNA", at positions 28 to 507 of the family's 1533-position model. The record is from RNAcentral.
GACGAACGCUGGCGGCGUGCUUAACACAUGCAAGUCGAACGGAAAGGCCCUGCUUUUGUGGGGUGCUCGAGUGGCGAACGGGUGAGUAACACGUGAGUAACCUGCCCUUGACUUUGGGAUAACUUCAGGAAACUGGGGCUAAUACCGGAUAGGAGCUCCUGCUGCAUGGUGGGGGUUGGAAAGUUUCGGCGGUUGGGGAUGGACUCGCGGCUUAUCAGCUUGUUGGUGGGGUAGUGGCUUACCAAGGCUUUGACGGGUAGCCGGCCUGAGAGGGUGACCGGCCACAUUGGGACUGAGAUACGGACCAGACUGCUACGGGAGGCAGCAGUGGGGAAUAUUGCGCAGUGGGCGGAAGCCUGAUGCAGCAACGCCGCGUGCGGGAUGACGGCCUUCGGGUUAUAAACCGCUUUCGCCUGUGACGAAGAGUGAGUGACGGUAAUGGGUAAAGAAGCACCGGCUAACUACGUG